This 189-nucleotide unclassified non-coding RNA is filed under the name uncultured fungus. RNAcentral describes it as "partial contains 5.8S ribosomal RNA, internal transcribed spacer 2, and large subunit ribosomal RNA". The record is from RNAcentral. Lineage: Eukaryota; Fungi.
AACGCAUUUUGCACUCUACUCUGUAGAGUAUGUCUGUCUGAGCGUCACGACACCUGUUACAGACGUAACAAGUUGGGCCGUCAAGGAUUGUGGCUCGAAAUGGAUGGGCGACGGUGUGGAAAGCGCAAGCAGACUCCCGGGCCCGACACAAGCGACCUCAGAUCAGGCAAGAGUACCCGCUGAACUUAA